Cercocebus atys (sooty mangabey) is the source of this 432-nucleotide long non-coding RNA. RefSeq lists it as uncharacterized. The transcript is spliced from 2 exons. NCBI's taxonomy places the organism in Eukaryota, Metazoa, Chordata, Mammalia, Primates, Cercopithecidae. The record is from RefSeq and is a predicted model, not a curated record.
GGGCCCAGUGGCGUCGGGCCUCCUGAGGGGGCUGCGAGUGUCAGUCGGCUCUCCGCACGUGUCCGCGGCCUCGCGGAGCAGCACUGUAAGCUAUUUGGCAUAUGAAGGUCUUGACCUAAGAAAACCAUCUUGGAUAACCACAGCAAGGAAAAGGAAAAAUGCAACACCUAGGAGAUUUCAGUAAACAGUAGAAUCAUGCCAACCUAAUCUGUGUUAAAAUGCUUGGAAUGUGGGAGCCGCUGAUGAUGCCUGUUGUCUGUGUGUCUGACUGAAUCCUUUCUUUUCUCAGAGCAGCAAAGCAAAGCCUGGGAACCAGGCCAAAUGCCUGCCACUUACCUUAAAUUGAUCAGCCACUUUGAGAUUAAAACCCCUGAAAGCUGCCACACCGUGAAAACAAGGCCUCCUUCACAUUAAAGGCAAAUUGCGACUUUG